AGGAUAAACGCUGGCGGCGUGCAUGAGACAUGCAAGUCGAACGGACACUCGGGGCUUGCUCCGAGUGUUAGUGGCGGACGGCUGAGUAACGCGUAGGUGACCUGCCCCGAAGUGGGGAAUAACUGCCCGAAAGGGUGGCUAAUACCGCAUGUGGUGGAACGUUCAUUCGUUCCAGUAAAGCCGCAAGGCGCUUCGGGAGGGGCCUGCGUCCGAUUAGCUCGUUGGUGGGGUAACGGCUCACCAAGGCGACGAUCGGUAGGUGGUCUGAGAGGACGAUCACCCAGACUGGGACUGAGACACGGCCCAGACUCCUACGGGAGGCAGCAGUCGGGAAUUUUGCGCAAUGGACGAAAGUCUGACGCAGCAACGCCGCGUGAGGGAUGACGGCCUUCGGGUUGUAACCCUUUAUCAGGGACGAUAAUGACGGUACCUGAUGAAUAAGUCACGGCUAACUACGUGCCAGCAGCCGC
RNAcentral lists this ribosomal RNA (470 nucleotides) under uncultured bacterium. RNAcentral's name for it is "SSU rRNA". It matches the Rfam family "Bacterial small subunit ribosomal RNA", at positions 26 to 518 of the family's 1533-position model. The record is from RNAcentral.